Molecule: transfer RNA, 76 nt
Filed under: Rickettsiales bacterium
Lineage: Bacteria; Pseudomonadati; Pseudomonadota; Alphaproteobacteria; Rickettsiales
Description: tRNA-Thr
Rfam family: tRNA
About the family: Transfer RNA (tRNA) molecules are approximately 80 nucleotides in length. Their secondary structure includes four short double-helical elements and three loops (D, anti-codon, and T loops).
Source: RNAcentral
GCCGCCUAAGCACAGACGGUUGUGCAGUUCCAUGGUAAGGAAAAGGUUGUGGGUUCGAAUCCCUCAGGCGGCGCCA